ACGAACGCUGGCGGCGUGCUUAACACAUGCAAGUCGAACGGAAAGGCCCUGCUUUUGUGGGGUGCUCGAGUGGCGAACGGGUGAGUAACACGUGAGUAACCUGCCCUUGACUUUGGGAUAACUUCAGGAAACUGGGGCUAAUACCGGAUAGGAGCUCCUGCUGCAUGGUGGGGGUUGGAAAGCUUCGGCGGUUGGGGAUGGACUCGCGGCUUAUCAGCUUGUUGGUGGGGUAGUGGCUUACCAAGGCUUUGACGGGUAGCCGGCCUGAGAGGGUGACCGGCCACAUUGGGACUGAGAUACGGCCCAGACUCCUACGGGAGGCAGCAGUGGGGAAUAUUGCACAAUGGGCGGAAGCCUGAUGCAGCAACGCCGCGUGCGGGAUGACGGCCUUCGGGUUGUAAACCGCUUUCGCCUGUGACGAAGCGUGAGUGACGGUAAUGGGUAAAGAAGCACCGGCUAACUACGUG
Molecule: ribosomal RNA, 467 nt
Filed under: uncultured bacterium
Lineage: Bacteria
Description: partial 16S ribosomal RNA
Rfam family: Bacterial small subunit ribosomal RNA
Source: RNAcentral